RNAcentral lists this microRNA (22 nucleotides) under Gadus morhua (Atlantic cod). Its description in RNAcentral is "gmo-miR-223a-5p". Its record names the gene gmo-miR-223a-5p. The record is from miRBase by way of RNAcentral. Lineage: Eukaryota; Metazoa; Chordata; Actinopteri; Gadiformes; Gadidae.
AGUGUAUUUGACAAGCUGAGCU